This is a long non-coding RNA of Rosa chinensis, 991 nucleotides long. RefSeq lists it as uncharacterized. The record is from RefSeq and is a predicted model, not a curated record. NCBI's taxonomy places the organism in Eukaryota, Viridiplantae, Streptophyta, Magnoliopsida, Rosales, Rosaceae. The transcript is spliced from 3 exons.
CGCUUUCUAGGCUCUCCACUGCUUCGUUCUCUCUCUUCAUGGCUUCCCCAGCGAUGAAGAAGGCUAUAUUUCAUCUACGCGGCAAUGUUUCGUUUAUCUAUAUCAUCUGCAAACCCCUAAAUCCUGCGCCUCAAUGGAUUGUCUUUCUAAAUUUCAAUUGAUAGGGCCAUUAGCGCAGUAUAAGAGCUUAGUUGAGCAAGGGAAGAUGCAACAUGAUCCGAACCAAGGUUAUUUAUAUGGAAUUGAUUUCACUGGCCAUGAAUGAGAAUAGAUAAAGAGAGAUGAGGGGAGCUUUUCCACCAGUUAGAGAAACAUGAGCAAUUCUCUGUAGCUAAUGCAAGGGUUCUCUUUAGGCAUCUGAUUCAGGUAGUUUUAUAUUGUCAUGAAAAUGGGGUUUCCAUAGAGAUUGGAAGCCUGAGAAUAUUCUGUUGGACAAAAGCCUCUUCAUCUCCCUGUUAAGUUGGCAGGACCAGUUAUGCAACUUACAUCAGGCCUGGUCAGAGUUUGCACGGUUCGGUGUAAGUCCGUUUUAUAUAGCGCCUGAGGUACUUGCUGGGGUGCUGAUGUUUAGAGUGCAGGGGUAAUUCUUUGCAUUCUUCUUAGAGGAAUACCACCAUUUUGGAGGAAGACAAAGUCAAGCAUAUUUGAUGCUGUUAGGACAACUGAUCUGAGGUUCCCAUCUGAUCCCUGGGAUGGCAUCAUUGAAUUAGCUAAUGAUUUGAUUCGAGGAAUGCUCUGUAAAGAUCCUUCUAAAAGGUUCGCCGCUCACCAAGUUUUAGGUAGUUUAAGCAAUGACUGCAGUAAUAGAGUUUGCUCAAAUGCUGAUCUUAGAUGCUAAAAGCCUGUAGCUAGCCAUUGAUACUCACUGUUGUCCUUAUUUGGCUUCUGAUAGAAAAUGUUUUAUAAAUGAUCUAUGUAGUUCAGAGCCAUGUCCUCCCCCUUCUUACUAAAAAGAAGACGCUCCUUAAGAAUCUGAGAUCAUUCUAGCUAA